This 253-nucleotide ribosomal RNA is filed under the name uncultured bacterium. Its description in RNAcentral is "partial 16S ribosomal RNA". It matches the Rfam family "Bacterial small subunit ribosomal RNA", at positions 524 to 776 of the family's 1533-position model. The record is from RNAcentral.
UACGUAGGGUGCAAGCGUUGUCCGGAAUUAUUGGGCGUAAAGAGCUCGUAGGCGGUUUGUCGCGUCUGCUGUGAAAACUCGAGGCUUAACCUCGAGAUGUCAUCGGAAACCAUUUGGCUAGAGUCCGGAAGAGGAGAGUGGAAUUCCUGGUGUAGCGGUGAAAUGCGCAGAUAUCAGGAAGAACACCAAUGGCGAAAGCAGCUCUCUGGGACGGUACUGACGCUGAGACGCGAAAGCGUGGGGAGCGAACAGG